GAUUCUUUUAUUUUAUUUUUUUUUUCAGGUUGUUGGCCAGCAGCAUCAGUGUAAAUGUCCACGGGGCUGGGACUAUUUAUAACCAUAGAAACUAAUACAAGACUUUGACCCUCAACUCCUCUGAAUGGAUAAACACAUCUGUGAUGGAAUAGCUCCUAUCUUCCUAUAGCCUUUGUAUUUCUGCAGAGUGCCUCAGAUAGCUCUGAAGUCCUCCUUCAGCCAGCAGGAGAGCUGCGAAGAGACGGGGAGAAGCCCACAACGGCCUUCCGAGAGGCACAAUGCAUACUACUUACUAUUAGAUGCGUACUACUAAUUUAUCAC
This 321-nucleotide long non-coding RNA is filed under the name Chinchilla lanigera (long-tailed chinchilla). RNAcentral describes it as "lncRNA (ENSCLAG00000027518.1)". The record is from RNAcentral. Lineage: Eukaryota; Metazoa; Chordata; Mammalia; Rodentia; Chinchillidae.